AGUGAACGCUGGCGGUAGGCCUAACACAUGCAAGUCGAACGGCAGCACAGUAAGAGCUUGCUCUUACGGGUGGCGAGUGGCGGACGGGUGAGGCAUACAUCGGAAUCUACUUUUUCGUGGGUGAUAACGUAGGGAAACUUACGCUAAUACCGCAUACGACCUACGGGUGAAAGCAGUGGAUCUUCGGACCUUGCGCGAUUGAAUGAGCCGAUGUCGGAUUAGCUAGUUGGCGGGGUAAAGGCCCACCAAGGCGACGAUCCGUAGCUGGUCUGAGAGGAUGAUCGGCCACACUGGAACUGAGACACGGUCCAGACUCCUACGGGAGGCAGCAGUGGGGAAUAUUGGACAAUGGGCGCAAGCCUGAUCCAGCCAUACCGCGUGGGUGAAGAAGGCCUUCGGGUUGUAAAGCCCUUUUGUUGGGAAAGAAAAGCAGCAGGUUAAUACCCCGCUGUUCUGACGGUACCUAAAGAAUAAGCACCGGCUAACUUCGUG
This 492-nucleotide ribosomal RNA is filed under the name uncultured bacterium. RNAcentral's name for it is "partial 16S ribosomal RNA". It matches the Rfam family "Bacterial small subunit ribosomal RNA", at positions 29 to 507 of the family's 1533-position model. The record is from RNAcentral.